AAUAUUGGACAAUGGGCGGAAGCCUGAUCCAGCCAUGCCGCGUGCAGGAAGACAGCCCUAUGGGUUGUAAACUGCUUUUAUACAGGAAGAAUAAGAGGUAUGUAUACCUCGAUGACGGUACUGUAAGAAUAAGGACCGGCUAACUCCGUGCCAGCAGCCGCGGUAAUACGGAGGGUCCGAGCGUUAUCCGGAAUCAUUGGGUUUAAAGGGUCCGCAGGCGGGCAAUUAAGUCAGGGGUGAAAUGGUGCGGCUCAACCGUAGCACUGCCCUUGAUACUGGUUGUCUUGAGUUAUGGUGGAGUGGCCGGAAUAUGUAGUGUAGCGGUGAAAUGCAUAGAUAUUACAUAGAACACCGAUCGCGAAGGCAGGUCACUAACCAUAUACUGACGCUGAUGGACGAAAGCGUGGGGAGCGAACAGGAUUAGAUACCCUGGUAGUCCACGCCGUA
RNAcentral lists this ribosomal RNA (447 nucleotides) under uncultured marine bacterium. Its description in RNAcentral is "bacterial SSU rRNA". It matches the Rfam family "Bacterial small subunit ribosomal RNA", at positions 360 to 804 of the family's 1533-position model. The record is from RNAcentral.